Molecule: ribosomal RNA, 551 nt
Filed under: uncultured fungus
Lineage: Eukaryota; Fungi
Description: eukaryotic LSU rRNA
Rfam family: 5.8S ribosomal RNA (bases 186-339)
Source: RNAcentral
AAGUCGUAACAAGGUCUCCGUUGGUGAACCAGCGGAGGGAUCAUUACUGAGUACUACACUCUCUACCCUUUGUGAACUAUUAUACCUGUUGCUUCGGCGGCGCCCGCAAGGGUGCCCGCCGGUCUCAUCAGAAUCUCUGCUUUCGAACCCGACGAUACUUCUGAGUGUUCUUAGCGAACUGUCAAAACUUUUAACAACGGAUCUCUUGGCUCCAGCAUCGAUGAAGAACGCAGCGAAACGCGAUAUGUAAUGUGAAUUGCAGAAUUCAGUGAAUCAUCGAAUCUUUGAACGCACAUGGCGCCUUCCAGUAUCCUGGGAGGCAUGCCUGUCCGAGCGUCGUUUCAACCCUCGAGCCCCUGUGGCCCGGCGUUGGGGAUCUGCCACGGCAGGCCCCUAAAACCAGUGGCGGACCCGAAGGGCCCUCUCCUUUGCGCAGUAGCAUUCGCCUCGCAUCGGGAGUCCUCGGCGUCCUGCCUCUAAACCCCCCACAAGCCCGCUUCGGCGGCACCAAGGUUGACCUCGGAUCAGGUAGGAAUACCCGCUGAACUUAA